CACUACAUAAUCAUUCAUUAUCUUUACAAUUAACCAUCUAAAGCUACCACAGUUUGAUUGUAUAUCUACAUAUAUAGAGAGAGUACACUUCAUAAUUUCGUCCCUUGUCUUUCGUAAACGAAGCACGGAAAUUUGAUACCCAGUAUUAUAAGGCAGGUCGUAAAAGCAAUCUUCCUGCACAUAUUUAAAAAUAAUAGCAAAGUCAGGAAAAUAAAGUAAAUAGGUCACCAGAGGCACUUAGUGCCAAAAUCAAUACACAAAGUCGUAGUUUUGCUACCAGUUUAGUUGCAUCCUUUGCAGCAUUCACGGCAAGCACCUGGACAAGACACUUGUCACGAAUAAGUACA
RNAcentral lists this long non-coding RNA (347 nucleotides) under Panax ginseng (ginseng). Its description in RNAcentral is "long non-coding RNA (PGIN_LNC009414)". The record is from RNAcentral. Lineage: Eukaryota; Viridiplantae; Streptophyta; Magnoliopsida; Apiales; Araliaceae.